RNAcentral lists this long non-coding RNA (1021 nucleotides) under Felis catus (domestic cat). RNAcentral describes it as "lncRNA (ENSFCAG00000048023.1)". Lineage: Eukaryota; Metazoa; Chordata; Mammalia; Carnivora; Felidae. The record is from RNAcentral.
UGCGGCCCCCCAGCUUGAGCACCCCCGCCUCCCCAUCCUGCUGCCCCGCCCCACGCUGUACCUCUCCCCUGCCCGUGCUUGGGAAUCGCACACUUUUCCUCCAGUCCUCACUGUGGUCAAACACAGAAUCCGAGGCUGAGCAGGAGGAGGCCACCCAUCUUCCCUGUCCACCAGGUGGCCGAGGCAAGGCAGGGGAGGGGAGGGGGGCCUGAGCUGGGAUCUUGCACCACGGGACGUCGGCUGCACCUGCUGGAGAAGCAGCGGAGGGCCCCCCCACCCCCCGGGGAAAGCAGGGUCACCAGUUGCCGUCCAGGGUCCAGGCUGAGACCCGAGGGAGGGAGGCCCGAGUCAGCCAAGCCCAGGGGCCCGCAAGCAGCACUCCUCCCCCUCCUCCUCCUCCUCCCCCUCCCCUCCCUCCUCCCCCUCCUCCUCCUCCUCCUCCUCCUCCCCCCCUCCUCCCCCUCCCCCUCCUCCCCCUCCUCCUUCCCCCCUACUCCCCCUCCCUCUCCUCUCCUCUCCUCACUCUCCCACCUCCCCUCCUCCUCCCCCUCCCCCCCCUCCCCCUCCUCCUUCCCCCCUACUCCCCCUCCCUCUCCUCUCCUCACUCUCCCACCUCCCCUCCCUCCUCCCCCUCCCCCUCCUCCUUCCCCCCUACUCCCCCUCCCUCUCCUCUCCUCACUCUCCCACCUCCCCUCCUCCUCCCCCUCCUCCUCCUCCUCCCCCUCCUCCUCCUCCUCCUCCCCCCUCCUCCUUCCCCCCUACUCCCCCUCCCUCUCCUCUCCUCUCUCUCCUCACUCUCCCACCUCCCCUCCUCCUCCUUCCCCCUCCUCCCCCUCCUCCUCCUUCCCCCCUACUCCCCCUCCCUCUCCUCUCCUCACUCUCCCACCUCCCCUCCUCCUCCCCCCUCCUCCUUCCCCCUCCUCCUCCUCCUCCUCCUCCCCCUCCCCUCCUCCUCCCUUGCCUUCUUGGUGGCAGUGUCGGGAACCUGAGUUCAAGCUCCAGCCACACCCAGCUCCCCGCA